UACAGAGGGUGCAAGCGUUGUUCGGAAUUAUUGGGCGUAAAGGGCUCGUAGGCGGUCUGUCGCGUCGAAAGUGAAAACCCAGGGCUUAACCCUGGGCCUGCUUCCGAUACGGGCAGACUAGAGGUAUGCAGGGGAGAACGGAAUUCCUGGUGUAGCGGUGAAAUGCGCAGAUAUCAGGAGGAACACCGGUGGCGAAGGCGGUUCUCUGGGCAUUACCUGACGCUGAGGAGCGAAAGUGUGGGGAGCGAACAGG
RNAcentral lists this ribosomal RNA (253 nucleotides) under uncultured bacterium. Its description in RNAcentral is "partial 16S ribosomal RNA". It matches the Rfam family "Bacterial small subunit ribosomal RNA", at positions 524 to 776 of the family's 1533-position model. The record is from RNAcentral.